This is a long non-coding RNA of Daphnia carinata, 248 nucleotides long. RefSeq lists it as uncharacterized. NCBI's taxonomy places the organism in Eukaryota, Metazoa, Arthropoda, Branchiopoda, Diplostraca, Daphniidae. The transcript is spliced from 2 exons. The record is from RefSeq and is a predicted model, not a curated record.
CAGAACAACGACCCUGGUGGGUACGAACAUGUUAAAUUGAAUGUGUUACUCAAAAGGUGGAAGAAAAAAGAAACUUGGGUCAACACCCCGUCCCUGCCUCCACUAGACUGCAAUUGAAAACGGGAGACGGAUGAAUGAUUCGGUCCAGCCAACUUAAACGCCAAUGAAGUUAUCGCCGGUAUAUACCAACUGCGCUCUCUCCUUUGCUUUAAAUAUAAGGACGAAUUCAAUAAACUUGUAUGUAUCUU